RNAcentral lists this ribosomal RNA (165 nucleotides) under Gilbertiodendron ogoouense. RNAcentral describes it as "5.8S ribosomal RNA". It matches the Rfam family "5.8S ribosomal RNA". From Rfam's summary of the family: 5.8S ribosomal RNA (5.8S rRNA) is a component of the large subunit of the eukaryotic ribosome. It is transcribed by RNA polymerase I as part of the 45S precursor that also contains 18S and 28S rRNA. The record is from RNAcentral. Lineage: Eukaryota; Viridiplantae; Streptophyta; Magnoliopsida; Fabales; Fabaceae.
AACGACUCUCGGCAACGGAUAUCUCGGCUCUCGCAUCGAUGAAGAACGUAGCGAAAUGCGAUACUUGGUGUGAAUUGCAGAAUCCCGUGAACCAUCGAGUCUUUGAACGCAAGUUGCGCCCGAAGCCAUUAGGCCAAGGGACNUYNGGGUGGGUGUCACAAAANG